GUAAUAAUCCUGUAGUCGAAAAUGUUGUCUCUCUUGAGUGGAUCCUGAGUACGACGGAGCACGUGAAAUUCCGUCGGAAUCUGGGAGGACCAUCUCCUAAGGCUAAAUACUCUCUAGUGACCGAUAGUGAACCAGUACCGUGAGGGAAAGGUGAAAAGCACCCCGGAAGGGGAGUGAAAUAGAACCUGAAACCGUGUGCUUACAAGUAGUCAGAGCCCGUUAAUGGGUGAUGGCGUGCCUUUUGUAGAAUGAACCGGCGAGUUACGAUUUGAUGCAAGGUUAAGCAGUAAAUGUGGAGCCGUAGCGAAAGCGAGUCUGAAUAGGGCGUUUAGUAUUUGGUCGUAGACCCGAAACCAGGUGAUCUACCCUUGGUCAGGUUGAAGUUCAGGUAACACUGAAUGGAGGACCGAACCGACUUACGUUGAAAAGUGAGCGGAUGAACUGAGGGUAGCGGAGAAAUUCCAAUCGAACCUGGAGAUAGCUGGUUCUCUCCGAAAUAGCUUUAGGGCUAGCCUCAAGUGAUGAUUAUUGGAGGUAGAGCACUGUUUGGACGAGGGGCCCCUCUCGGGUUACCGAAUUCAGACAAACUCCGAAUGCCAAUUAAUUUAACUUGGGAGUCAGAACAUGGGUGAUAAGGUCCGUGUUCGAAAGGGAAACAGCCCAGACCACCAGCUAAGGUCCCAAAAUAUAUGUUAAGUGGAAAAGGAUGUGGCGUUGCCCAGACAACUAGGAUGUUGGCUUAGAAGCAGCCAUCAUUUAAAGAGUGCGUAAUAGCUCACUAGUCGAGUGACACUGCGCCGAAAAUGUACCGGGGCUAAACAUAUUACCGAAGCUGUGGAUUGUCCUUUGGACAAUGGUAGGAGAGCGUUCUAAGGGCGUUGAAGCAUGAUCGUAAGGACAUGUGGAGCGCUUAGAAGUGAGAAUGCCGGUGUGAGUAGCGAAAGACGGGUGAGAAUCCCGUCCACCGAUUGACUAAGGUUUCCAGAGGAAGGCUCGUCCGCUCUGGGUUAGUCGGGUCCUAAGCUGAGGCCGACAGGCGUAGGCGAUGGAUAACAGGUUGAUAUUCCUGUACCACCUAUAAUCGUUUUAAUCGAUGGGGGGACGCAGUAGGAUAGGCGAAGCGUGCGAUUGGA
RNAcentral lists this ribosomal RNA (1133 nucleotides) under Staphylococcus aureus. Its description in RNAcentral is "partial 23S ribosomal RNA". It matches the Rfam family "Bacterial large subunit ribosomal RNA", at positions 364 to 1502 of the family's 2925-position model. The record is from RNAcentral. Lineage: Bacteria; Bacillati; Bacillota; Bacilli; Caryophanales; Staphylococcaceae.